This 1176-nucleotide long non-coding RNA is filed under the name Homo sapiens (human). Its description in RNAcentral is "non-protein coding lnc-TCF7-3:3". Lineage: Eukaryota; Metazoa; Chordata; Mammalia; Primates; Hominidae. The record is from RNAcentral.
GAAAAUUCUAGAACUGAAGAUGGGUUAAGCCACAGACACUGCUUCUCAUCUCCAUACCUCCGAGCUCCUGACAGGCUGCAGCUGGUAACGCCUCCCCCUCCUGGCCCAGCUUGCCUAGCUGCCCUCACCUUGACAACCACAGAAAAGCCAAAGACUGCACACAUGUGCACCACACUAUUUAUCCUCCUGCCUGUGUUUGCUACAGUAGCCCCACAAAAAACAUAACAAGGCCACAACAGAGAUGCGACACGUGCCAUGUACCAACUCCCCACACUUCUCAAGGAGGAAAGGCACCUGGUGAUGUUCUGCAGUUCAUCCCCUGCAGCACCUGAGCACCCUUCUCUCUCAGCAUACAUCCCUGCCUGCUGGAGGAAAGCCAGGGACCUGCACGAAACAUCAGCACGCGGCGUCCCAGCCCAUGCAGUUGUCAUGGACAACAGGAGUUCAGAGGAAAGUGUGGGGCAUGUAGACCAUAUGGGCUGCAGGAAUUCAGGUAGCUAUCAGAGUCCAGGAUGAUUUAGGGAAAGGAGUUUACAAAACAGGCUUAUUUUGGAAAGGUUGGUGCUGAGAAGCAGUCCUUCCAAAUAUUGGGGGGCAGUCAAAGCAAGGGCAAAGAGAUGCAGAUGGGAUAGAGACAGUACUCAGGGAGGGGACAGGGAGGAACCACCUUCCUGGCCAAGGCUGGUGAGGCAGUCUUGCACCAAGGUUUAGGGCAGGGGUAUCCAAUCUUUUGGCUUCCAUAGGCGACAUUGGAAGAAGAAAAAUUGUCUUGGGCCACACAUAAAACACACUAACACUAACGAUAGCUGAUGAGCUUUAAAAAAGGUCGGUGCAUAAAUGUCAUAAUGUUUUGAGAAAGUUUAUGAAUUUGUGUUGGGCUGCAUUCAAAGCCAUCCUGGGCCACAGGUUGGACAAGCUUUGCUUAAGGGGAACAGGGACCAACCGCUUCCUCCUCCCACUGCCCUGCAAGCUGGCAUUUUCUCCUUCCCCUCCCCCUGCAAAUGACCAACUUUCUCAAAAUAACUACUUCGCAGCCCUUUCUUGAGGGGCUUUUAAUGGCUUUUGAAAUAUAAGCCCGGAGCUACAAAUGCUGCCUGGCCAAUUUACUCGAAUGCUUCACCUCCCCAGACAUUUUUUCUAAAAUGACUUUCCUUCUUCCACCACAAACAGAGCCUU